AGAGUUUGAUCAUGGCUCAGGAUGAACGCUAGCGGCAGGCUUAAUACAUGCAAGUCGUGGGGCAGCAUGGUGUAGCAAUACACUGAUGGCGACCGGCAAACGGGUGCGGAACACGUACGCAACCUUCCUUUAACUGGAGAAUAGCCCGGGGAAACCCGGAUUAAUACUCCGUAACAUUAUGAAGUGGCAUCACUUUAUAAUUAUAGCUCCGGCGGUUGAAGAUGGGCGUGCGUCUGAUUAGGUAGUUGGCGGGGUAACGGCCCACCAAGCCUACGAUCAGUAACUGGUGUGAGAGCACGACCAGUCACACGGGCACUGAGACACGGGCCCGACUCCUACGGGAGGCAGCAGUAAGGAAUAUUGGUCAAUGGACGCAAGUCUGAACCAGCCAUGCCGCGUGAAGGAUGAAGGUCCUCUGGAUUGUAAACUUCUUUUAUUUGGGAAGAAACCCAUGAUUUCUAUCGUGGUUGACGGUACCAGAUGAAUAAGCACCGGCUAACUCCGUGCCAGCAGCCGCGGUAAUACGGAGGGUGCAAGCGUUAUCCGGAUUCACUGGGUUUAAAGGGUGCGUAGGCGGGUUGGUAAGUCCGUGGUGAAAUCUCCAAGCUUAACUUGGAAACUGCCGUGGAUACUAUCAAUCUUGAAUAUAGUGGAGGUGAGCGGAAUAUGUCAUGUAGCGGUGAAAUGCUUAGAUAUGACAUAGAACACCCAUUGCGAAGGCAGCUCGCUACACUAUUAUUGACGCUGAGGCACGAAAGCGUGGGGAUCAAACAGGAUUAGAUACCCUAGUAGUCC
This 795-nucleotide ribosomal RNA is filed under the name uncultured bacterium. Its description in RNAcentral is "bacterial SSU rRNA". It matches the Rfam family "Bacterial small subunit ribosomal RNA", at positions 8 to 796 of the family's 1533-position model. The record is from RNAcentral.